CAGUCGCCGCGGUAAUACCGAGGGUGCGAGCGUUAAUCGGAUUUACUGGGCGUAAAGCGUGCGUAGGCGGCUUUUUAAGUCGGAUGUGAAAUCCCUGAGCUUAACUUAGGAAUUGCAUUCGAUACUGGGAAGCUAGAGUAUGGGAGAGGAUGGUAGAAUUCCAGGUGUAGCGGUGAAAUGCGUAGAGAUCUGGAGGAAUACCGAUGGCGAAGGCAGCCAUCUGGCCUAAUACUGACGCUGAGGUACGAAAGCAUGGGGAGCAAACAGGAUUAGAGACCCCCGUAGUCCCUGUCUCUUAUAA
RNAcentral lists this ribosomal RNA (301 nucleotides) under uncultured bacterium. RNAcentral describes it as "partial 16S ribosomal RNA". It matches the Rfam family "Bacterial small subunit ribosomal RNA", at positions 509 to 809 of the family's 1533-position model. The record is from RNAcentral.